RNAcentral lists this ribosomal RNA (301 nucleotides) under uncultured bacterium. RNAcentral describes it as "partial 16S ribosomal RNA". It matches the Rfam family "Bacterial small subunit ribosomal RNA", at positions 509 to 807 of the family's 1533-position model. The record is from RNAcentral.
CAGCAGCCGCGGUAAUACAGAGGGUGCGAGCGUUAAUCGGAUUUACUGGGCGUAAAGCGCGCGUAGGUGGUUUGUUAAGUUGGAUGUGAAAGCCCCGGGCUCAACCUGGGAACUGCAUCCAAAACUGGCAAGCUAGAGUACGGUAGAGGGUGGUGGAAUUUCCUGUGUAGCGGUGAAAUGCGUAGAUAUAGGAAGGAACACCAGUGGCGAAGGCGACCACCUGGACUGAUACUGACACUGAGGUGCGAAAGCGUGGGGAGCAAACAGGAUUAGAUACCCCUGUAGUCCCUGUCUCUUAUAC